This 311-nucleotide ribosomal RNA is filed under the name uncultured eukaryote. RNAcentral's name for it is "partial 18S ribosomal RNA". It matches the Rfam family "Eukaryotic small subunit ribosomal RNA", at positions 1470 to 1796 of the family's 1831-position model. The record is from RNAcentral.
CCCCUAGACGUUCUGGGCUGCACGCGCGCUACAAUAAUACGCACAGCGAGUAUCACCGAGCUCGAAAGGGCAAGGUAAACAAUAGAAAAGGUACUGUAAUGGUUAUAGAUCCUUGUAAUUAUUGAUCUUCAACGAGGAAUUCCUAGUAAGUAUGUGUCAUCAUCACGCACUGAUUACGUCCCUGCCCUUUGUACACACCGCCCGUCGCUCCUACCGAUUGAGUGAGCCGAUGAAACUGCCGGAUGUGGACUAUUCAUAGUCUGCAGAAGAUAUCUGAAUCGUAGCGCUUAGAGGAAGGAGAAGUCGUAACA